RNAcentral lists this ribosomal RNA (347 nucleotides) under uncultured bacterium. Its description in RNAcentral is "bacterial SSU rRNA". It matches the Rfam family "Bacterial small subunit ribosomal RNA", at positions 161 to 507 of the family's 1533-position model. The record is from RNAcentral.
CGCUAAUACCUCAUAAUGCAGCGGAUCCGCAUGGAUAUGUUGUUAAAGGUUUACCGCCUUGGGAUAGGCUUGCGUCUGAUUAGUUAGUUGGUGUGGUAACGGCACACCAAGGCUACGAUCAGUAACUGGUCUGAGAGGAUGAUCAGUCACACUGGAACUGAGACACGGUCCAGACUCCUACGGGAGGCAGCAGUGAGGAAUAUUGGGCAAUGCUCGAAAGAGUGACCCAGCAACGCCGCGUGGAGGAUGAAGGUAUUCUAUAUCGUAAACUCCUGUGAGAGCAGACGAAAGACAGAUUAUUAAUCUGGAUGACUGUAUGCUCAGAGGAAGCCCCGGCUAACUACGUG